GACGAACGCUGGCGGCGUGCUUAACACAUGCAAGUCGAACGGAAAGGCCCUGCUUUUGUGGGGUGCUCGAGUGGCGAACGGGUGAGUAACACGUGAGUAACCUGCCCCUGACUUUGGGAUAACUUCAGGAAACUGGGGCUAAUACCUGAUAGGAGCUCCUGCUGCAGGGGGGGGGUUGGAACGUUUCGGCGGAUGGGGAUGGACUCGCGGCUUAUCAGCUUGUUGGUGGGGUAGUGGCUUACCAAGGCUUUGACGGGUAGCCGGCCUGAGAGGGUGACCGGCGACAUUGGGACUGAGAGACGGCCCAGACGCCUAUGGGAGGCAGCGGUGGGGAAUAUUGUACAAUGGGCGGACGCCUGAUGCAGCAACGCCGCGUGCGGGAUGACGGCCUUCUGGUUGUAAACCGCUUUCGCCUGUGACGAAGCGUGAGUGACGGUAAUGGGUAAAGAAGCACCGGCUAACUACGUG
This 468-nucleotide ribosomal RNA is filed under the name uncultured bacterium. Its description in RNAcentral is "partial 16S ribosomal RNA". It matches the Rfam family "Bacterial small subunit ribosomal RNA", at positions 28 to 507 of the family's 1533-position model. The record is from RNAcentral.